AUGGACGCAGUCUGAUGGAGCACGCCGCGUGAGUGAAGAAGGUUUUCGGAUCGUAAAGCUCUGUUGUUGGUGAAGAAGGAUAGAGGUAGUAACUGGCCUUUAUUUGAACGGUAAUCAACCAGAAAGUCACGGCUAACUACGUGCCAGCAGCCGCG
Molecule: ribosomal RNA, 155 nt
Filed under: uncultured bacterium
Lineage: Bacteria
Description: partial 16S ribosomal RNA
Rfam family: Bacterial small subunit ribosomal RNA
Source: RNAcentral